RNAcentral lists this ribosomal RNA (463 nucleotides) under uncultured bacterium. Its description in RNAcentral is "partial 16S ribosomal RNA". It matches the Rfam family "Bacterial small subunit ribosomal RNA", at positions 28 to 507 of the family's 1533-position model. The record is from RNAcentral.
GACGAACGCUGGCGGCGUGCUUAACACAUGCAAGUCGAGCGGUAAGGGCCUUCGGGGUACACGAGCGUCGAAAGGGUGAGUAACACGUGAGUAAUCUGCCCAUCACUUCGGGAUAACUCCGGGAAACCGGGUCUAAUACCGAAUAGGACCAUUUCAGGCAACUGAUGGUGGUGGAAAGUUCUGGCGGGGAUGGAUGAGCUCGCGGCCCAUCAGCUGGUUUGGGGGGUAGGGGCCUACCAAGGCUUCGACGGGUAGCCGGCCUGGGAGGGUGAACGGCCACCCUGCGACUGCGACACGGACCAGACUCCUACGGGGGGCAGCAGUGGGGAAUAUUAUACAGUGGGCGCAAGCCUGAGACAGCGGCGCCGCGUGUGGGAUGACGGCCUGCGAGUUGUAAACCGCUUUCAGCAGGGACGAAGCGCAAGUGACGGUACCUGCAGAAGAAGCACCGGCCAACUACGUG